This 448-nucleotide ribosomal RNA is filed under the name uncultured bacterium. Its description in RNAcentral is "bacterial SSU rRNA". It matches the Rfam family "Bacterial small subunit ribosomal RNA", at positions 335 to 773 of the family's 1533-position model. The record is from RNAcentral.
ACUCCUACGGGAGGCAGCAGUGGGAAUAUUGGACAAUGGGGGGACCCGUAGCAUCCAGCCAUGCCGCGUGUGUGAAGAAGGCCUUAUGGUUGUAAAGCACUUUAAGCGAGGAGGAGGCUACUGAGACUAAUACUCUUGGAUAGUGGACGUUACUCGCAGAAUAAGCACCGGCUAACUCUGUGCCAGCAGCCGCGGUAAUACAGAGGGUGCGAGCGUUAAUCGGAUUUACUGGGCGUAAAGCGUGCGUAGGCGGCUUUUUAAGUCGGAUGUGAAAUCCCUGAGCUUAACUUAGGAAUUGCAUUCGAUACUGGGAAGCUAGAGUAUGGGAGAGGAUGGUAGAAUUCCAGGUGUAGCGGUGAAAUGCGUAGAGAUCUGGAGGAAUACCGAUGGCGAAGGCAGCCAUCUGGCCUAAUACUGACGCUGAGGUACGAAAGCAUGGGGAGCAAAC